Molecule: long non-coding RNA, 4069 nt
Organism: Oreochromis niloticus (Nile tilapia)
Lineage: Eukaryota; Metazoa; Chordata; Actinopteri; Cichliformes; Cichlidae
Source: Ensembl
AACCUCUUAAAAUCUGCAUCAUAACAAUAUUAGUCGAAAGUUUCCUGAACUUCUGCUUAAUGGACAUUCUGUUAUUGAUAAAAAGUUGUCCAACAAUACAAUAAGAAAAUGCUUUAUCCAAGAACUGCAUUCAUUCUUAGCUAACAGAUCUUUAGUUCUUCAACUCCAAUCUAGAGAAGUCAUUAAUGGAAUGAUUAAUGGUGUUUAACCAUCUGGAGACUUCCUGAGGCAUCGAUUUAACUUGGACCCUAAUAGCUGCUCUUUCUGUAAUGAAGAUGUAGCUAGACUGUUGUUUGGCUUCAAAGCUUCACAAUCUAAAGACACUGCAUUGAUUCGUUGUUUCACAGCAAAUAAGAAUAUUGACCUUUAAAUUAAAUGUUAGAAUAAUCUGUGGUCAAUUUUUUAUACACAAAUGCCGUUAUUUAAAAACUCGCCCUGCUUUCACUACCUUUCAUAGAGAAUUGGUUUACUACGUCGUUCCUUGAAAUUCAUAAAAGGGUCCAAAAAACUGUUAACCCAACCGCACAUUUCAUCUAAUUUUGUUUUGUAAUUUACUUUUUUGAAUUAUUAUUAUUUUAAUAUAUCUAAUAUGAUUAUUGUCACCAUAUACUGUUGGUCCUUUUCGUGUCUGUUUGUAGCGCUGAGUCUGAAGGAUUUGCUGUACUGCGCCAAGUUUUUGUUAAAACAAAAACAAAAAACGGCACCCCUGCAGCCACCUUCAUCCGGGACCUCCGGGGCGGGGCAGUUGAGCCUGUCAUUUGUGAAGGGAGCAAUUUGAUUGGACGGUUUUAAUGUUUUCCUUUUCAAACUCGCUUUUGAACCGGAAGCUCUAAACGAGCCGGUGAAAAAGUGAAGCACGCAGGAAUGAGUGUUUGAAUCCGGCUGCAGGGCUCAGGCUGGCGGAGACCAUGAGAGGAAGAGCUCAGCGCAAGGUGGUGACGUCAGGAAGGCUGACGGGAGCAGUCAGAGGGGGUCUAGCCACCUUAAAUCCAGGAACAGCUCCCUGCCCUGAGCCGGCCUACUCUCUGUACUCUACCGACUCCGAGGACCAGGUCAUCAGUCUGCACAAGGGUCUGGACCGCUGUGCUGCCCUGCUCAGUGGGAUCCUUCAGGCUGAUGAGGCAGUGUCUCCAAGGCUUCACAGAACAGUAAGCAGUGUAGCAGUCAAACCAAGGCUAUCCACAUCAAUGGGGAAAAAGAGCUUGAAGAAAGGGCCUCCAAAGGCAGGCCAGAAGAGCGUGUCAGGCCAGCGUGGAUCGGACAGCAGAACUCCACGAGGACACCCAUCUGCCCGUCCUGCACCACAUUCAGGAGUGAAGCUACAUCCACCUCAGAAACGAUGUCCCACCCAGCUGCAGUCUCACUUACUUUCAGCACACGACCAAACACCUCGACUUCUUCCUCACACCGUCAGUCCACCCCAGCACGAGGCGUCCAUCCUUCUGUCUGUGCGUCAGUCCUCCUCUCUCUCGAGCCAUCAGACUGCCUGCCGGCCUGACUCUGAAACGCCUCACACUACGUGUGAUGAAGCACAAGAGUUUGUUCCUGUGAGAGACACAAACACCCAGAGCCCCAGCACACACACUCUCACACAUGCACAUGGAGACAGCUGCAGUAUGAAGAUGGCACACUUACAGCUGGAGCCUGGACAGGCUGAGGAGAGCAACAUUGAGGCACAAACAAAAGCUCACAAGCUUCAGUAUCUAUUCGCACAACUCAAGGCUCUGAUUGCUGGACAAGGCAGUGUAGCAGAGAGCCUACUCAGUCAUCUGGAGCAGACUGUGUCCCCAGCACAGAUGAAUAUUAGUGCUUCAAACACCCAGAGUGUGUCCGACCUGCACAGGUGUGUGAGGAUCCUGGACCAGCAGCCAGAGACGGAGAGACAUCAGAACCAGGCGAUACUCUGGCAGAGACUUCAGAAAGAGCUCACUGCUGCUCAGUCCAGGCUGCAGGAACUCCAAGAUGACCUGACGGACCUACGGAAAACCCUGCAGGACACACAGAGCCAGCUGAGAGACCGAGAGGCUGAAACUGCACUCGUUAAGAUGGAGCUGGAGGCCAGUAAGAGUAGGUUACUGGACAGUGAGCGGGAGAAGAGUAAGCUGGCCUCGCUGGCACAGCAAAGGCUGAAGGAGAUGGAACACCUUAAAAGUCUCCUCUCAUCAGAUUAUCCUGCUGUUGUUGACAGCUCUGUGUCAGAGACAAGCCAACACCAGCACAGACGGGAUCCGCCAGCGCCCCCUACUGACCAUAUCGCCCAAUACCUGAAGUCUCUUAGCCAGAUGGCGCCUGUGCAGUGUGUGGAUGCAGAGAGAGAUUCAGACUCAGCAUCACAUCUAGACAUCACCGCUCAGAGGAGUGAAGAUCCUGCAGGGACUCGGCACGAGUCUAAUCGUGAGCGGUCCACUGGUCCAGGUGAAGCCCUGCGGCCAGAGGACGCUCGCAGGCAGCUGUUUAACUCCACGCUGUCCCAGAGUGAAACAGAGUCUGUGUGGUCUGAUUUGACCUUUGACACCAGAGACGAAGCAGCGUUCAGAGACGGUCUGGCAGCUUUAGAUGCUAGCAUAGCCAGUCUGCAGAAGACUAUUAAGCUGGACCUGAGGAGGUGACCGUGCUGGUCUUUGUAUUCAUCCAUGUUUGGGCCUUGUUGAUGAACCGUUCUGUAAAGUGUUGAAGAUUUGGAAUAAAGCUGUUUUUAUGAAUUUCUUCAUGGACAGCACACUGCUUUGUUCUGCUGCUCGUGGAGAUUUACAACUUUCUCUCUAACAAGUCAGACAGUGCUGCGUGAAGAGUUCUGUCCAAAUCACUGAAAGUACACCAAAAAUGAUCCUUUAUUCUGGCGGGCUUGGAUAGUCAAACUCCUCAGGUUAGUGAAUUUGCACAAGAAAGCAGAAAAUGAUCAGCAUGAACCCAAAGGCAGUCUGAGGAGAAAAAAAUGGACUGAAGGGAAAGUACUGAGAUGAUCUCAGAGGCUGUGGAAGUGGUGCAUUAUCUCUGGGGUUAAUAUAAAUGUACAGACGGGCAAAAUAAAUCCAGCAGCCACAAUGGUUUGAGUGCACGGUGUCGUCGACAAACGUGGAGCACAGGCCUGGUAUCGCAGCGAAGCUUCUACCUCAGUGAUGUCAUCCCUGAGUUCAGGCAGUCUUUAGGUUUCUCGUCAGGCAGCCUGAUGUCACCUUCUUGUAGUAAACAGCCUGGCCUCUUUGGUGUGUUUAAAUGUGAUGUCAAACAUGUUUAAACUGUACUUUAAUGUAUUUGAAAAGUAUGAUUAAAAUUCAAGACAACCACAAAUACUAUGUUUUAUGAGAAUGUGUGUAAAACAGGUUUUAUUGAGUACAAACGCAGGUCAGUGUAAGGUCGUGUGUGACACACCGUGUUCAGAAAAACAGACGGCCCGUCUACAACCAUCGUACAAAACACAAGAAAUGGUUUAAGCCUCAUGAAAUUACAGUGAGAUCUCUAAAACAGUUUUCAGCCUCGGUGCAGUUCAAUGACACACACACACACACACACAACCGUGCAGCUCUCUGCAGCACAGCAAAGCAGCAACACUCCCGAGGCUACAUGGUGAGCAGGAGGUCAGGAGCUGAGCCCAGAGCCGUAAACACCACAAUUAAUGAAGGUCCCAGCAGACCGGGACGAGUUCCACACCCACACAGCCAUCUGCUAAGAAAACAGCACCGUACUACCCUACUACUAAUGGUCUGAACCAUUUUUAACCUCGCUUAGCACAAAGACAAGUGAAAUAUUCCCACCAGCUGUACAUGGUUGAAAGGCCACUGUGAGGACAGGACUGCAGAGAUGCUGGCUGAUUAUACCAAGAAGAGAACAAAGUUAACUCUAGUUAUGAGUAUAGUGUUGCCCUACAGUGUGAUGUCACAGAAAUCCAUCCCUGAAGAUUAUUUUUGGAAGCAGCUUUUUCACAACCCAGCUUCACCUGCUGAAUGAGCCACAGGACAGCGCUCUGAGUCAGUCUGAGCCUAACACGUCCUGGGUGUGGGCUGUAGGCACAGAAGGGUUACUUCUCAUCGUCCAAGUAAUCCUUUAAAGCUUAGUGGAAGCACAUCUG